CAGUCGCCACGGGAAUACGAAGGGUGCAAGCGUUACUCGGAAUUACUGGGCGUAAAGCGUGCGUAGGUGGUGGUUUAAGUCCGUUGUGAAAGCCCUGGGCUCAACCUGGGAAUUGCAGUGGAUACUGGGUCACUAGAGUGUGGUAGAGGAUAGUGGAAUUUCCGGUGUAGCAGUGAAAUGCGUAGAGAUCGGAAGGAACAUCUGUGGCGAAGGCGACUAUCUGGGCCAACACUGACACUGAGGCACGAAAGCGUGGGGAGCAAACAGGAUUAGAUACCCGAGUAGUCCCUGUCUCUUAUAA
This 301-nucleotide ribosomal RNA is filed under the name uncultured bacterium. RNAcentral describes it as "partial 16S ribosomal RNA". It matches the Rfam family "Bacterial small subunit ribosomal RNA", at positions 509 to 809 of the family's 1533-position model. The record is from RNAcentral.